RNAcentral lists this ribosomal RNA (254 nucleotides) under uncultured bacterium. RNAcentral's name for it is "partial 16S ribosomal RNA". It matches the Rfam family "Bacterial small subunit ribosomal RNA", at positions 524 to 776 of the family's 1533-position model. The record is from RNAcentral.
UACAGAGGGUGCAAGCGUUAAUCGGAAUUACUGGGCGUAAAGCGUGCGCAGGCGGUGAUGUAAGACAGGUGUGAAAUCCCCGGGCUUAACCUGGGAACUGCAUUUGUGACUGCAUCGCUGGAGUGCGGCAGAGGGGGAUGGAAUUCCGCGUGUAGCAGUGAAAUGCGUAGAUAUGCGGAGGAACACCGAUGGCGAAGGCAAUCCCCUGGGCCUGCACUGGACGCUCAUGCACGAAAGCGUGGGGAGCAAACAGG